GCCGCCUUAGCUCAGCUGGUAGAGCAUCUGAUUUGUAAUCAGAGGGUCGUAGGUUCGAGUCCUACAGGCGGCA
This 73-nucleotide transfer RNA is filed under the name Paracoccaceae bacterium. RNAcentral describes it as "Rhodobacteraceae bacterium tRNA-Thr". It matches the Rfam family "tRNA". From Rfam's summary of the family: Transfer RNA (tRNA) molecules are approximately 80 nucleotides in length. Their secondary structure includes four short double-helical elements and three loops (D, anti-codon, and T loops). Lineage: Bacteria; Pseudomonadati; Pseudomonadota; Alphaproteobacteria; Rhodobacterales; Paracoccaceae. The record is from RNAcentral.